AAGUCGUAACAAGGUCUCCGUAGGUGAACCUGCGGAGGGAUCAUUACCGAGCUCAUGCCCUUACGGGUAGACCUCCCACCCUAUGUUAUCAUUACCUUUGUUGCUUUGGCGGGCCGCCAGGCUUCGGUCAGGCUAUCGGCUUCGGCUGGUAAGCGCCCGCCAGAGGACCCCAACAUCCUGAUUAUUAGUGUCGUCUGAGUACUAUGCAAUAGUUAAAACUUUCAACAACGGAUCUCUUGGUUCUG
This 245-nucleotide unclassified non-coding RNA is filed under the name Hyphodiscus sp. RNAcentral describes it as "partial contains small subunit ribosomal RNA, internal transcribed spacer 1, and 5.8S ribosomal RNA". The stretch from base 1 to 46 matches the Rfam family "Eukaryotic small subunit ribosomal RNA", at positions 1786 to 1831 of the family's 1831-position model. Lineage: Eukaryota; Fungi; Ascomycota; Leotiomycetes; Helotiales; Hyphodiscaceae. The record is from RNAcentral.